GGGGCGAAGGAGAGGCGUUGUGGAUGCUCUUAGUUAAGUAUAGUCAAAAUCUAUAUAAUCUAUAUAAUAUAUAAAAGAGGAGUUUUCUCCCUUCAUUUCUUCCCUCCAUUUUUUUUCUGUCUCUUCUGCCAUCAAUUUUUUUUUCUCUUUUUUUAUUUUUAUUUCCUAAAUAUUGUCAAAUUUGAUAUAUGAAGAAAAUUUCAAUAUGGUAUAAAAA
This 217-nucleotide long non-coding RNA is filed under the name Salvia miltiorrhiza (redroot sage). Its description in RNAcentral is "long non-coding RNA (SMIL_LNC010929)". Lineage: Eukaryota; Viridiplantae; Streptophyta; Magnoliopsida; Lamiales; Lamiaceae. The record is from RNAcentral.